This 2757-nucleotide long non-coding RNA is filed under the name Gopherus agassizii (Agassiz's desert tortoise). RNAcentral describes it as "lncRNA (ENSGAGG00000015289.1)". Lineage: Eukaryota; Metazoa; Chordata; Testudines; Testudinidae. The record is from RNAcentral.
GGUGGUUAGUCUGGAGCUGGCUGGGGUCAAGGGUGGAGGGCAGACCUGGGGGUCUGGCUCACUGCCCCCCAGAAUGGACCCAGCCGAGGGGUCCGGUUCGCUGUAUCUACAAGCUCUGUUUUAGACCCUGUUCCUGUCAUCGAAUAAACCUCUGUUUUACUGGCUGGCUGAGAGUCACGUCUGACUGCAAAGUGGGGGUGCAGAACCCGGUGGCUUCCCCAGGACCCCGCUGGGGUGGACUCGCUGUGGGAAGCGCACGGAGGGGCAGAGGAUGCUGAAUGCUCCAAGGAGAGACCCAGGAGGUGAAGCCGUGUGAGCUUCUUGCCCUGAACAAGUCUGCUCCAAGGGAGAGGAGGCUCCCCAAAGUCCUGACUGGCUUGGUGGGGAGCAGUUCCAGAGCAUCGCCCGGUGACUCCGUGACAACUGGUGGCAGCGGUGGGAUGUACUGCACCCCGUGAAUGGCGCUGCUUGCAGUAAGUGACUGGGGAGCAGUAAAACAAAGGAGGGAUAAUGAGGACCAGGCGUGCUGAAGGCUCAGAGAGGGACGGUUUCAGGGGGCAGUUAACCUCUGGGAGUGUGUGACCAGCGAGAAGGACUGUUGGAGUAACGGGGUCCCCCUGAGGACUGCAGCGAGCAGUCUCAGGGGCGGAGGAGCUUGCCGCUCGACCCUGGGAGAGAGAAGGAUUUUGCAGUAGCAGGGUUCCCCGGGGGAUUGCAGGAGCAGUCCCAGGGGCGGAGGAGUCUGCAGCUCGACCCUGGCAAAGAGGUGGUGAUCACGAGAAGGGCUGGCACACCAGGGGUUCUUCCUGGAAACCAUGGGGGAGCCAAGAGCACACAGGCCUGUGAGUCCAGAGCCACUUGGGAACGGUGAAGUGAUGGCCUAUCACCAUCUCCUUGAGAAGGACAUUGUGAUCCUGUGCACAAAGAGAGGGUUACGCAUGGGGAAAUUCACCAAGGCACAGUUAAUCGUGCAGUUGGAGGAGAAGCACCGCUCUGAGGAGCAGAUUCCUGGCCCAGAUGGGGCUACAAGAGGAUCUGAGAGCAGCUGGAGCAUCAGCCAGGCAUCCCCGGGAGUCUGGUCCCCAAUCAGACGAGGGUCUUCACGAUUGGGUUCCCCAUCAGGAGAUUGGAGACGGAUGGGAUGGGAGCAGAGCCCGAGAGAGCGAGAGGACCGUGAGAGAAAGCAAGAGCCCGAGGAAAAGCUGCAGGAGAAGCAGCAGCAGCGUGGACUGGUGAUGGUGGAGCAGAGAGACAUAGGGGGCUGCCCAGGGGUCAGUGGGGAAACACGCCUGCAGGGGCGAGACCCUGGGACAGAGAGAACUGUGGUGGUGCAGCCCCAGAUGCUGAGGGACUGUGGGACCUGGGUGAAGUUCCCUGGGGUGAAGCCCCUCGCCCUGCCUAUGGCCCAGAUCCCUGUGCAGACCCAGGAGGGGUCGGGCUGGCUGGUAGUUGGGGUUCUCCAGGAUAUCGGCUGGGAGGCCCUGUUGGGGGGUGACUGUCUCCCCAUGGGACAGGAUCCAGGCCCCGCUCCUGUAACGGCCGAGGGUUUGAAUUCAAAUCCAGGGAACCAAUUGGCUAGGAUGGAAAUGGUCAGUGAAAAUGCAAAUAACCUGGCUGGCAGGGGGGAGGGGCUGCUGGGCUCAGGAUACCUGCCUACCUGUAACCAGCCCCCUGGGGCUGAGUGGGAGGGAGAGAUGCUCCCCGCCCCCCUGCACACCGGAGAGGGGGCUCACGCUGGCUCUGAUGCUGUGACCAGAGCAGAGAGCUCGCUGCCUGCCCCCACUGGGACAGCAAGGGCAGCGCUGAGCACGGGGGGAGCUGAGACCCCAGCUGAGUGGGGGGACACCCAGGCAGGGCAGGUCAGCUGCCAAACAGGUUUGCCUGGUCCAGACGUGCUGCUGGGAAGUGAUUACACAGCAGGGAGGGAGCUACCAGGGACAGGGCUCAGGGGGGCUGUGACCCCAGGCCCAGCCAGCGAGAGGGAGCAGGUCCCACUCCCUGCCCCAGCUGCUGAAUCCCAGACCGAGCUGCAGAGGGAUCCCUCCUUGGAGAAGCUGAGGGAACUUGCUGGCCACAGCGCUGCAAACCCCCUUGGGGAAGGCUGCAGGGACAGAGUCCUGCAGGAGAAGGGAUUCCUGUACCGGGAAUGGGCUCCCCAAGGGGAAGUAGAACUGGGGGGAAUCGGGAGGCAGCUGGUGGUGCCCCAGGAAUCCACAGGGUUCUUCCCUUUCGAGCUGCUGGAUGGGAGGAGAGUGAGGGGACCCCUGGACCUGAAGGGGGAGGAUUGGGAGGAGAAGGGGGAAGACCCCCUGGGGGAUCUCUUCCCUGAGGUGGGAGACAAUCUCCCCAUCAGGUGUUCCCCGUUCAGAGUCACUGGGAAAGCAGCCCAGAACCUGGAGAGAGAGGUCAGGGACCUGCUGGCUUUAGAUGGGAUCCAGCCAUUUUACAGCCCAUGGGCCUCACCCGUGGGGCUGAUCCCCAAGGGAGACAGGAUGAUCUGGUUUUAUGGGGGCUAUCAGAAGCUUAAAGCCAUCACAGUGUCCGAUGCCGACCCCAUGCCUAGGCCUGGGGAGAUUCUAGACAAGCUGAGAGGGAUGGAGAACUUGGCCCUGGCAGACACUGAUAACAUGUGCAUCUUUAGCCAGACCUGGGAGGAACAGGUGUCCCAGGUGAAGAGGGGGCUGGGCUGCCUCAAGGAGGUGGGACUGACGGUAAAAGCUGGAAAGUGUAAGGUGGGAACGGCAGAGGCGUUGUGUC